UUUUCCGUGUCACAAUGACUCAAACUUGCUGCUAGUGGCUAGCGGAAGCUAACCUUAGCGUUAGGCUAAGUGAUAAUUUGACACAACUUGAGCUAAAUUGGCUUUGAGGUUCACAUCAAGUCAGUAAUAAAUGUAAACUACACGAGUUUAUGAUUAAUAGGGGUUUCUUCUAUGUAUUUAAGUAGGAAAGUAAGUUUACUUCUUCCUAUUAUUGUCACCUGGGAAUUAAAAGGGUUUUAAUUCCCAGCCCUUACUCUGUCCUGAGAAUCUCCACCAGCGUAAGUUCUCUGAAUACAGAGCUUGUUUAUAGUUGAAACUGGUGGAAACUCUUCCUGUUGCGUGACAAACGUAGUUUUUCAUUAACCUGCCCCGGGGGGAGGGGGGCUGACAUUAUUUUGGGGGGCGUUUGCUUGAAGGUAAAGUUUACACCAAAGAUGCACAACAAUACCAGUUUAAACUUUGAACAAUUUGCAAAAAACUGUGGUUAUGUUAUUUCUGCCAUAUUGUUAGUAACUAUAUGUGGCCCGCGCAAAAGUGAUACGUUUGUCAUACUUUUGCGCGGCAUUUUCAGUUGUUUUUGUGAGACUAGCAAGAGGCGUAUUCGAAAAUGGCACAGAACAAGAAGAAAUGCCAUCAGUUCGAUUGAAUACCUUGAUUAUGGGUUCAUACCUUUACCAAUACACGCACAACUUCCACAGUGUUUACUAUGUGUACAAGUUUUUUCCAAAUGAGGCAAUGAAGCCAUAACAACUCAAGGAGCGUCUUACGAAGAUCCACUGGGAGAAGGCUGACAAGGCCUUCUUUCAGACUCUUAAAGAGCAGCAUGGUUGGAGAAGCAUCACCAGUCUCUUUACCAGGAAAAUGAACCAGUCUGAUAGUGGGCCAGUGGCGUCCUAUAACAUCUCUCUGCGAAUAGCCAAAUGUGGGCAGCCGUACACAGUUGGAGAAAAAUUGGUGCUCCCUGCCAUCAGAGAGGUAAUCUCUACUGUGCUGGAGCGGGACCCCACGCAGGUGCUGAAAUCCAUACCACUCAGCAAUUACACCGUAGCACGCAGAAUUAAUGAAAUGGGUGCAGAUACGGAGGAGCAGCUGUGUGCUAUUUUAAGGGAUUCUCCGCUCACCCUUCAGGAUGAGACGACCACUCCCGACAACAACGCUUUAAGGCCCCCAGCAGUGAGGACAUGGCUGAAGAGUUUUUGUUUUCAAAAUAUUUGAAAACGGACACAAAGGGUCAAACCAUUUUCAAUGCCCUUUAUGACUAUUUACAGGAAAAGUCCAUCCCAAUAACAAAUAUCCUGGCAUGCGCCACUGACGAUGCCCCCUCGAUGGUUGGCAGGUAUCACGGCUUCACUGCUCUUCUUAAGGUCCUGGUCCUGGUCCUGAAGGUGCUGACAGUCCUUUGCGUCCUGCACCACCACAACCUUGUGGCCAAAUGUAAUAGUCCACCUCUCAAUGAGUCCCUCAAUAUCGCAGUCAAGGCAGUUAACAAAAUAAAAGCCCACGCCCUAAAUGACAGACUGUUCCGACUGCUAUGCCAGGAGAAUGAUGAGAUUUUUGAGCGUCGUCUUCUCCACACAAAUGUGCGCUGGCUCUCAAGGGGAAACUGCCUUGUUCUUUUUUGUAGUCUGUUUGAAGGUAAACAGACUACCUUCAAACAGACUACAGAAACAUCGUGGAGUUUCUGGAGUCGAUUGGUUCAGCUCUGGGGGAACAGGUGACUUCCAGCCACUGCGACAUCAUGUACCUCGCAGACUUCUUUGAAAAAAUGAACAAAGUCACAUUAAAGCUCCAAGGAAAUGGCGUUACUCUUGUCCAGUGCAAAGCAGUGGACAAGUCUCAUCUCCAGGCUGUAUCUGUACAAACAGAGCAUAGGCAGGAGGCAGUUAGCUAAUUUCCCAUAGUUGAUAAAGUUGGUUAUUAUAAUUGAUUAUGCUUAUUUAAUUUCGAUGAAUUAUUGCAUUGCUAAUAACAAUAAUAGCCUAAUCAUUACAGGUGUCUGAGGAGCUUACCGAUGACCGCCUCUUCAUUUACGCGGAACACCUGAAAACGGUUCGGGCCGAUCUGAAAAUGCGCUUCUGGGAUCUCCUGGAUCUUGAAGUUCCCGUGUGGGUGGUCCAGCCCUUUCAGGCGGACGUGGUCGACUGCGAUAUUGCCAUCCAGGAGCAUCUUGUUGAUGUUCAGUGCGACAUUGAGGCCCAAGCUAUUUUUCGCACCUUUGGCUGGGGCAGCAUGUGGACCAAAUAUGCCACACGUUAUCCCACUCUUUGGGAGAAGGCCAGGCUGCUUCUUCUUGCUUUCCUGACCACAUAUCUCGUGGAGCAGGGAUUCAGCCAGGUCCUCCACAUGCAGUCCAAGUACCGAAAUCGUUUGAACUUGGCAGCUUCUGGUGCACUACGGCUGAAACUUAGUUCUCUGCAACCCGCAAUAAAGAAACUGGCUGAAAAACACCAGGUACAGGGUUCCCAUUAGUUUUUCAAAUGAAUUUCCUUUGAAAAUCAGCCUAAAAAUCCUACUUCGUUCUCUGUUCCCAAGUGGCAGAUUCUUUUAAGUUGGGAUCAUUAUUCUGUUCAUUGUUUGGCAUUUCUGAUUGGCUGUUAUUUAAUUAAUAUAUGAAUGGUAGAUUGCUGGCUGUUUCUGAUUGGUUCCUGUUUAUUAUAGUUAAUUAAAGUUUGAAUUGAAAUUCCUAGCCAUUCUGAUUGGCUGAAGUUAGGCGUAUCUAAUUUAAGUUAAAUUUCGGCUGCUUUUUGUAGAAAAAUUACUGGAUACAUAGACAGAUGAACUCAACAACAAACGUAUUUACUCUUUUUAGUCUGUUCCUUCAACCAUCAGGUUUGAGAAAAGUGUUAUUCUGUCCUUUCGUCUUUCCAGAGUUUUAUGAAGCUGAAAUCAUUCAUUGAACUGUGGGGGACGUUUGUGCUGCUGCUACAUAUUUUGCAUUGAGAUGCUAUUUCAGGCUUGAAUAGACUCACUGAGAGGCUAACUCCUUCAACACAGCUUAAACACAACAAUAGUCUUUCUCAGCGUCGCAUCAGAUCGGUUUUUGAAGCAGAAAUGAACCAGUGGAUCAAAACAACCUGCUUCAUUAUCUAUCAAAUUGCUUCCCCGUCGCCUGAAUACCGCAGCUAGGAAUAAUGGAAUAGGACUCCGGUUCUAUUUUGUGGGUUUUCUUUUCUCUGAACUUAAGAGGGACGACCGGGGGCAUUCGUAUUGCGCCGCUAGAGGUGAAAUUCUUGGACCGGCGCAAGACGG
Molecule: long non-coding RNA, 3249 nt
Organism: Xiphophorus hellerii (green swordtail)
Lineage: Eukaryota; Metazoa; Chordata; Actinopteri; Cyprinodontiformes; Poeciliidae
Exons: 2
Source: RefSeq, a predicted model, not a curated record